AUUGUAUCAAUAGCAAAGAAAGGAAAGUACUAUAUAGUUCACAAGUCCUCGCACAGGAAUUCAAAUGUACGACUAACUAUUCAGCAAAACAGCUGCCUUUAGUAUCUACAUUAAUCUGUAGAUUUGUGGAAAAUUCCAUUGAUGUUUGCCAAUUUGCACAAUCUUACAUAUAGCAGUCCAUGUGAGAGAACACAGCAUUGACAAUGGCUGUGAUACUUAAGCAAGGCGAGAGACUACCAGAAGAAGCAAAAGAAAAUAAAAUUAGCAUCUUACUGGCAGGGAAGAGUACAUGAACAUUGUUAUUCAUUAUGGCGAAAAGUGUCAAGAAUUCAAUGUGAGUUUAAAGGGACGUGGCAGGCACCAGAACCACAAGAGCAUAAUGUAAUUAAUGAGAUACAUAGGGGGUAAAAACUGCAGAAUCAACAUUCAGCAACCUUGCAAUUUGCAUUAAAUGCUUCUCAAUUAGGGGAUACUCACUUGUACAGAGAAGCAACUGCCACAGACACUUGCAUUGUCAGUGCUUCCCUGUAAGGAAGCAUUGGAUUAUUUGAGAUCAGCAAUACAGCUGAUCUCUCCACAAGGAGCCACUCCAGCAAGACUGGCACAGUAGUGAAAUAAAAGGC
This is a non-coding RNA of Pelobates cultripes (western spadefoot toad), 623 nucleotides long. Lineage: Eukaryota; Metazoa; Chordata; Amphibia; Anura; Pelobatidae. The record is from the annotation of a GenBank genome assembly.